GUCACUGUGGUGCAGUGGUUUGAACACUGGGCUAUGACUCUGGAGACUAGGGUUCGAAUCCUGGCUCGACC
Non-coding RNA from Phrynosoma platyrhinos (Desert horned lizard), 71 nucleotides. Lineage: Eukaryota; Metazoa; Chordata; Lepidosauria; Squamata; Phrynosomatidae. The record is from the annotation of a GenBank genome assembly.